This 468-nucleotide ribosomal RNA is filed under the name uncultured bacterium. RNAcentral's name for it is "partial 16S ribosomal RNA". It matches the Rfam family "Bacterial small subunit ribosomal RNA", at positions 28 to 507 of the family's 1533-position model. The record is from RNAcentral.
GACGAACGCUGGCGGCGUGCUUAACACAUGCAAGUCGAACGGAAAGGCCCUGCUUUUGUGGGGUUCUCGAGUGGCGAACGGGUGAGUAACACGUGAGUAACCUGCCCCUUACUUUGGGAUAACUUCUGGAAACUGGGGCUAAUACCGCAUAGGAGCUCCUGCUGCAUGGUGGGGGUUAGAAAGUUUCGGCGUUUCGAGAUGGACUCGCGGCUUAUGAGCUUGUUGGUGGGGUAGUGGCUUACCAAGGGUGUGACGGAUAGCCGGCCUGGGAGGGGGACCGGGGACCUGGGGACUGAGAGAGGGAGCAGACGCCAACGGGAGGCAGUGGGGGGAAACAUGGCGCAGUGGGGGGAAGCCUGAGGCAGAGACGCCGGGGGCGGGAAGACGGCCUACGGGUGGGGAACCGAUUUCGACUGUGACGAAGCGUGAGUGACGGUAAUGGGUAAAGAAGCACCGGCUAACUACGUG